RNAcentral lists this transfer RNA (76 nucleotides) under Clostridia bacterium. RNAcentral's name for it is "tRNA-Ala". It matches the Rfam family "tRNA". Rfam says of the family: Transfer RNA (tRNA) molecules are approximately 80 nucleotides in length. Their secondary structure includes four short double-helical elements and three loops (D, anti-codon, and T loops). Lineage: Bacteria; Bacillati; Bacillota; Clostridia. The record is from RNAcentral.
GGGGGUGUAGCCCACCUGGGAGAGCGCUUGAAUGGCAUUCAAGAGGUAGUCGGUUCGAUCCCGAUCAUCUCCACCA